GCUAAACGCGAAGAACCUUACCUGGCCUUGACAUGUCCGGAAUUCUGCAGAGAUGCGGAAGUGCCUUCGGGAAUCGGAACACAGGUGCUGCAUGGCUGUCGUCAGCUCGUGUCGUGAGAUGUUGGGUUAAGUCCCGCAACGAGCGCAACCCUUGUCCUUAGUUGCCAGCGAGUAAUGUCGGGAACUCUAAGGAGACUGCCGGUGACAAACCGGAGGAAGGUGGGGAUGACGUCAAGUCCUCAUGGCCCUUACGGCCAGGGCUACACACGUACUACAAUGGUCGGUACAGAGGGUUGCCAAACCGCAAGGUGAGCCAAUCCCAGAAAGCCGAUCCCAGUCCGGAUCGAAGCCUGCAACUCGACUCCGUGAAGUCGGAAUCGCUAGUAAUCGCGGAUCAGCACGCCGCGGUGAAUCCGUUCCCGGGUCUUGUACACACCG
RNAcentral lists this ribosomal RNA (438 nucleotides) under uncultured bacterium. RNAcentral's name for it is "bacterial SSU rRNA". It matches the Rfam family "Bacterial small subunit ribosomal RNA", at positions 954 to 1392 of the family's 1533-position model. The record is from RNAcentral.